RNAcentral lists this ribosomal RNA (429 nucleotides) under Acidobacteriota bacterium. RNAcentral describes it as "Acidobacteria bacterium partial 16S ribosomal RNA". It matches the Rfam family "Bacterial small subunit ribosomal RNA", at positions 355 to 776 of the family's 1533-position model. Lineage: Bacteria; Pseudomonadati; Acidobacteriota. The record is from RNAcentral.
UGGGGAAUUUUGGACAAUGGGGGAAACCCUGAUCCAGCCAUCCCGCGUGUGCGAUGAAGGCCUUCGGGUUGUAAAGCACUUUUGGCAGGAAAGAAACGUCAUGGGUUAAUACCCCGUGAAACUGACGGUACCUGCAGAAUAAGCACCGGCUAACUACGUGCCAGCAGCCGCGGUAAUACGUAGGGUGCAAGCGUUAAUCGGAAUUACUGGGCGUAAAGCGUGCGCAGGCGGUUCGGAAAGAAAGAUGUGAAAUCCCAGAGCUCAACUUUGGAACUGCAUUUUUAACUACCGGGCUAGAGUGUGUCAGAGGGAGGGGGAAUUCCGCGUGUAGCAGUGAAAUGCGUAGAUAUGCGGAGGAACAACGAUGGCGAAGGCAGCCUCCUGGGAUAACACUGACGCUCAUGCACGAAAGCGUGGGGAGCAAACAGG